GUCUCUGGCCAUGGCACCCUAAACAAGCUCAAUCCCAUUCGAUCUUGGAAGCUAAGCAGGGUCAGGCCUGAAUGGGAGUACUUGAAUGGGAGACCACCUAGGAAUACCAGAAGCUAUUUAUG
This 122-nucleotide ribosomal RNA is filed under the name Pteropus alecto (black flying fox). Lineage: Eukaryota; Metazoa; Chordata; Mammalia; Chiroptera; Pteropodidae. The record is from RNAcentral.